RNAcentral lists this ribosomal RNA (246 nucleotides) under uncultured bacterium. RNAcentral's name for it is "partial 16S ribosomal RNA". It matches the Rfam family "Bacterial small subunit ribosomal RNA", at positions 551 to 793 of the family's 1533-position model. The record is from RNAcentral.
GUCACUGGGCGUAAAGCGCACGUAGGCGGACUUUUAAGUCAGGGGUGAAAUCCCGGGGCUCAACCCCGGAACUGCCUUUGAUACUGGAAGUCUUGAGUCCGAGAGAGGUGAGUGGAACUCCGAGUGUAGAGGUGAAAUUCGUAGAUAUUCGGAAGAACACCAGUGGCGAAGGCGGCUCACUGGCUCGGUACUGACGCUGAGGUGCGAAAGCGUGGGGAGCAAACAGGAUUAGAUACCCCCUGGUAG